CUGAGAGCUUCAGAAGUGUGAUGAUGUGACCAAACAUGGAUAGCAGGGUUAGAAAAGCCCUUCCUGGGGCCGGCCCCAUGGCUGAGUGGUUAAGUUCUCACGCUCUGCUUCUGGGGCCCAGCGUUUCACCAGUUCGGAUCCUGAGCGCAGAUAUGGCACCACUCACCAAGCCAUGCUGAGGCAGCAUCUCACAUAGCACAACCAGAGGUGCUCACAGCUAGAAUAUACAACUAUGUACUGGGGGCCUUUGGGAAGAAGAAGAAAAAAAAAGAAGAUUGGCAACAGACGUUAGCUCAGGUGCCAAUCUUUAAAAAAAAGAAAGAAAAGCCCUUCCUGAGAAAAUGACAUGUCAGGAGAAAUCUAGCUAGGUGAAAGAGAAGACUAUUCUAGGUAGAGGAAACAGCAGUGUGAAGGCUCUGAAGCAAGUUAGAACAGUACACUUGAAGAACUGAAAAAUGUCCAUUGUGGCUAGAACAUAGAAAGGGGAGUGUAGUACAAAUGAGACUGGAAAGACAGGCAAGGAUUAGAUCAGAGAGCGCCUUGGAAGUCAUGUUAAAGAUUUCAGAAUUUUUUUUUUUAAUAUUGGCACCUGAGCUAACAAGUGUUGCCAAUCUUUUUCUUCGUCUUCGUCUUCGUCUUUGUCUUCGUCUUCGUCUCCAUCUCCGUCUCCUUCUCCUUCUUCUUUCUUCUCCCCAGAGCCCCCCAGUACGUAGCUGUAUAUUUUAGUUGUGAGUGCCUCCGGUUGUGCUAUGUGGCACGCCGCCUCAGCAUGGCUUGAGGAGCGGUGCCAUGUCUGCGCCCAGAAUCCGAAUCAGCAAAGCCCUGGGCCGCCGAAGCAGAGCACGCAGACUUAACAACUCAGCCACAGGGCCAGCCCCCUCAGACAUUUUUCUAAGAAUUGUAGGGAGCCGUUGAAGAAUUUUAAACAGAGGAGUUACGUGUUAGAGUUGAGUUUUUAUGUUGUAUUGUUUUUGUUUCUUUGAGGAAGACUGGCCCUGAGCUAACAUCCAUGCCCAUCGUCCUCUACUUUAUAUAUGGGACACCUGCCACAGCAUGGCUUGAUAAGUAGCGCGUAGGUCUAGGCCCAGGAUCCAAACCAGUGAACUGCCAGCUACAGAAGCAGAGCACACAAACUUAACCGCUACACCACUGGGCCAGCCCCUAGAUUUGUGCUUUUAGUAUGCAGCUAUGCUGUAAUGUCCAUGGAUUGGAUUGGAAGUGAAAUGGUGCAUGUGAAGAGACUGGUUAAGAGGCUAUUGUCCAUGAAGGGAGAUGCAGAAGUGGAUAUUUUUGAUAUUUUGGAAGCAGACCCAAUAGAUUUUGUUGAUUGUUUAGAUUUGGAAUUUGAGGAAGGAGUCAAGAAGAGAUCUUGGGUUUCUGUCUUGAGAAAUUGUGUAGAAGGUGAUACUGAGAUAGGGAACAUUGAAGGAAGAGCAGGCUGGAGGGGAGGAGUGCAUGAGGUGAGUUCAAUAUCAGAUGUGUGUUUGGAGAGCUGGAGAGAGAUUAGAGCGGAGACGUUAAGAAGGCAAGUAGAUAUUGGUUUGGAGCUCAGAAAACAGUUCUUACCUAGAGAUAGGAAUUUGAGAGUUCUCUACAUACAGAGGAUAAUUGAGACUCUGGAGGAUGCUACCACUUAUGGAGUGUGCAAAGUGAGGUGAGACAAGAGUAUCGGACUGAUGUUUUAAGACCUCCAACAUCUACAGCGUUGUAUAGAAAAGUAUAAGCCAGUAAAGGAAACUCAAGAAAGGUAGGAGGGGACUGUGUGUGGAGGAAAAUGGGAGAGUGUAGUUCCAAAGAAGCCAAGGUUAGAGAGUUUUGAGAAGAAAGAAGCAGGAGCCAUGUUCAAUGCUGCUGUUGCUUCAAAAUAAUAAGAUUUUUAAAUGUCCACUGUUUUUAGCAACAUAGAGGAUAUGCAUCAGAGAAUGGAGCAGAUGCCCUAUAUCCUGAUCUUUCAACUGUCAUUGAUGAUGGCUAUCAGCGUGGACUCUCUGCCCAGGGGUCAUCACAUUCCUAAGGAAUUCAAAAGAACAAAGUUAUCAACUUGUAGCAGCUGGGAGGGGCCACAAAAUCUACAGAGCCUGGCUGGGUUAAUUAAUCAGAGGGCAUUCGAACUUACAACAUGAUUUCUUUUCUACAAUAUGGCUUCCUUUAUGUCAAUUUAGUGUUGAGCUGGUAUCAAAUGCUGAAAGGAGACAAUAGGUUAAAAAAGAAAGUGGAGGGG
This 2221-nucleotide long non-coding RNA is filed under the name Equus asinus (donkey). Its description in RNAcentral is "lncRNA (ENSEASG00005038370.1)". Lineage: Eukaryota; Metazoa; Chordata; Mammalia; Perissodactyla; Equidae. The record is from RNAcentral.